This 445-nucleotide ribosomal RNA is filed under the name uncultured bacterium. RNAcentral describes it as "partial 16S ribosomal RNA". It matches the Rfam family "Bacterial small subunit ribosomal RNA", at positions 354 to 796 of the family's 1533-position model. The record is from RNAcentral.
GUGAGGAAUAUUGGUCAAUGGGCGCAAGCCUGAACCAGCCAUGCCGCGUGCAGGAAGACGGUCCUAUGGAUUGUAAACUGCUUUUAUUUGGGAAUAAACUCCGGUACGUGUACCGGCCUGAAGGUACCAAAUGAAUAAGCACCGGCUAACUCCGUGCCAGCAGCCGCGGUAAUACGGAGGGUGCAAGCGUUAUCCGGAAUCAUUGGGUUUAAAGGGUCCGCAGGCGGUCUUAUAAGUCAGUGGUGAAAGCCUACAGCUCAACUGUAGAACUGCCAUUGAUACUGUAGGACUUGAAUUCGAUCGAAGUGGGCGGAAUGUGACAUGUAGUGGUGAAAUGCUUAGAUAUGUCACAGAACACCGAUAGCGAAGGCAGCUCACUAGGUCUGGAUUGACGCUCAGGGACGAAAGCGUGGGGAGCAAACAGGAUUAGAAACCCGGGUAGUCC